RNAcentral lists this ribosomal RNA (498 nucleotides) under uncultured bacterium. RNAcentral's name for it is "partial 16S ribosomal RNA". It matches the Rfam family "Bacterial small subunit ribosomal RNA", at positions 28 to 507 of the family's 1533-position model. The record is from RNAcentral.
GACGAACGCUGGCGGCGUGCCUAAUACAUGCAAGUCGAGCGGACGAAUCGAAAGCUUGCUUUUGAUUCGUUAGCGGCGGACGGGUGAGUAACACGUGGGCAACCUGCCCUGUAGACGGGGAUAACACCGAGACAUCGGUGCUAAUACCGGAUAACACGAAAUGUCGCAUGACGUUUCGUUUAAAGACGGCGCAAGCUGUCGCUACAGGAUGGGCCCGCGGCGCAUUAGCUAGUUGGUGGGGUAACGGCUCACCAAGGCGACGAUGCGUAGCCGACCUGAGAGGGUGAUCGGCCACACUGGGACUGAGACACGGCCCAGACUCCUACGGGAGGCAGCAGUAGGGAAUCUUCCGCAAUGGACGAAAGUCUGACGGAGCAACGCCGCGUGAGCGAAGAAGGCCUUCGGGUCGUAAAGCUCUGUUGUUAGGGAAGAACAAGUAACGCAGUAACUGGCGUUACCGUGACGGUACCUAACGAGAAAGCCACGGCUAACUACGUG